RNAcentral lists this ribosomal RNA (1745 nucleotides) under Ambystoma mexicanum (axolotl). RNAcentral describes it as "SSU rRNA". It matches the Rfam family "Eukaryotic small subunit ribosomal RNA". Lineage: Eukaryota; Metazoa; Chordata; Amphibia; Caudata; Ambystomatidae. The record is from RNAcentral.
CCUCAUUAAUCCUGCCAGUAGCACAUGCUUGUCUCAAAUAUUAAGCCAUGCAUGUGUAACUACACAUGGCUGUUACAGUGAAACUGCAAAUGGCUCAUUAAAUCAGUUAUGGUUCCUUUGAUAACUUCAUCUGUUACUUGGAUAACUGUGGUAACUCUAGAGCUAAUACAUGCCGACAAGCACUGACCUCCCAUGGGUGCAUGCAUUUAUCAGAUGAAGACCAAUCCGGGCUUGCACGGCCGCUGUGGUGACUCUAGAUAACCUUGGGCCGAUUGCAUGUGACAGCGAUGAUACAUUCAGAUGUCUGCCCUAUGAAAUUUCAAUGGUACUUUCUGUGCCUACCAUGGUGACCAAGGGUAACAGGGAAUCAGGGUUCGAAUCCCGAGAGGCACCCUGAGAAAUGGCUACCACAUCAAAGGAAAGCAGCAGACAUGGAAAUUACCCCCUCCUGACUCAGUGAGGUAGUGACGGAAAAUAAAAAUACAGGACUCUUUCUUUAACCAUGAUACAUUGGAGGGCAAGUCUGGUGCCAGUAGCUGCCAUAAUUCCAGCUCCAACAUCGUAUGUUAAAGAUGCUGCAGUUAAAAAGCUCAUCGUUUGCACUUGGAAUCGAGCUGGUAGUCGACCGUGAGGUGAGCUACCGCCUUUUCCCAGCCCCUGCCUCUCGGCGCCCCCUUGAUGUUCUUGACUGAGUGUCCAGGGGGCCGAAGCAUUAACUUUGAUCAAAUUAGAGUGUUUAGAGCAGGCUGGUUGUCUGAAUACUUCAGCUAGGAAUAAUAGAAUAGGACUCCGGGUCUAUUUUGUUGGUUUUAGGAACUAGGGCCAUUGAGGCCAUGAUUAGGAGAGAUGGCCGGGGGGCAUUCGGGCCACUAAAGGAGAAAUUCUACGACCGGUGCAAGACGAACCAAAGUGAAAACAUUUGCCAAGAAUGUUUUAAUUAAUCAAGAACGAAAGUCAGAAGUUCGAAGACAAUCAAAUACCAUUGUAGUUCCGACCAUAAACGAUGCCGACAAGUGAUCCAGUAACAUUAUUCCCAUUAACCGCCGAGCAGUGCCAGGAAAAACAAAGUCUUUGGGUUCCAGAGGACUAUGGUUGCAAAGCUGAACCUUCAAGGAAUUCACAGAAGGGCACCACCAGGAGUAUUUCCUGCGGCUUAAUUUGACUAAAAAAUGGGAACCUCACCCGGCCCAGACACGGAAAGGUCUGACAGAUUGAUAGCUCUUUGUUGAUUUUUUUGGGUGGUGGUGCAUUGCGGUUCUUAUUUGUUGGAGAGAUUUGUCUAGUUAAUUCCGAUAAGCAAUGAGACUCCUCCAUGCUAAUUAGUUACUUGACCCACAGCGUUCGGCAUUCAACUUCUUAGAGGGACAAAUGGCAUUCAGCCACACGAGCAAUAACAGGUCUGUGAUGCCCUUAGAUGUUAGGGUUUGCACACACACUACACUGAAUGGAUCAUUGUGUGUCUACCCUUUGCCGACAGCUGUGGGUAACGCACUGAACCCUGUUCGUCAUAGGCAUUGGGGAUUACAAUUAUUUCCCAUGAACAAGAAUUCACAGUAAGUGUGGGUCAUAAGCUUGUGCUGCCUAAGUCCCUGGCCUUUGUACACAAAGCCCAUCGCUACUACCGAUUGGAUGGUUAAAUUAGAUCCCCAGAUCGGCCUGGAGGAGCACUGAGAAGACAAACAAACUUGACUAUAUAAAAGGAAGCAAAAGUCAUAACAAGGUUUCCGUAGGUUAAACUGCGGAAG